CCUACGGGAGGCAGCAGUGGGGAAUAUUGGGCAAUGGGCGCAAGCCUGACCCAGCAACGCCGCGUGAAGGAAGAAGUCUUUCGGGUUGUAAACUUCUUUUCUCAGGGACGAAGAAAGUGACGGUACCUGAGGAAUAAGCCACUGCUAACUACGUGCCAGCAGCCGCGGUAAUACGUAGGUGGCCAGCGUUAGCCGGAUGUAGUGGGUGUAAAGGCCGUGUAGGCGGGGGCGCAAGUCAGAUGUGAAAACUCAGGGCUCAACCCUGAGCCUGCAUUUGAAACUGUGUUUCUUGAGUGCUGGGGAGGCAAGCGGAAUUCCGUGUGUAGCGGUGAAAUGCGUAGAUAUACGGAGGAACACCAGUGGCGAAGGCGGAUUGCUGGACAGUAACUGACGCUGAGGCGCGAAAGCGUGGGGAGCAAACAGGAUUAGAUACCCUUGUAGUC
Molecule: ribosomal RNA, 443 nt
Filed under: uncultured bacterium
Lineage: Bacteria
Description: partial 16S ribosomal RNA
Rfam family: Bacterial small subunit ribosomal RNA
Source: RNAcentral